Molecule: small nuclear RNA, 104 nt
Organism: Cricetulus griseus (Chinese hamster)
Lineage: Eukaryota; Metazoa; Chordata; Mammalia; Rodentia; Cricetidae
Source: Ensembl
GUACUUGUUUCAGCAGCACAUAUGCUAAAAUUGGAAUUAUACAGAGAUUACCAUAGAACCUAAAUAAGAAUGGCAGAUGCUUUCACAAAGCAACCCAUAAAAUU